Non-coding RNA from Haemonchus contortus (barber pole worm), 75 nucleotides. NCBI's taxonomy places the organism in Eukaryota, Metazoa, Nematoda, Chromadorea, Rhabditida, Trichostrongylidae. The record is from Rfam.
GGCACAAACUUAAAGUAGAAUAGUUGGGUAUGGUCAGCUGAUCCUACUAAUCUACUCUGCUUCAAGUUUGAGCUC